AGCUGAAGUGGAUGAAACUUUUGAUGAGCUUAUCUAUUCGUGGAUGUGCUAGAAAGUAGAAACCAUAUAAAUUGGGACAACCUCAAGUUUCUACCAAAUUUUUCGGCUGAUCUUUUACAGGUUUGCAUGAAUAGGGACUGCGCCACCACUAUAAGGUUGCGGACUUGCUCUUCCCUCUUCUGUGGCUGAAUGCUCCGACAAUGACCCGGUUGAAUGUGGCACUUCCCUUUCAAGGUUCUCUAACAGUUCUUCAUACGGAGGAGACGAAACACUUUCAGCAGCAAAUCCCAAAUACGCGAACACGUCAAGGUACCCAGUGUCACAAACUGUCUGCAACGGCCUAUUAAGGAAUCGGUUUUGCGAGUCUGUAUUACACACAUGCUGUAGAGACAAGUUAUAAGCCUGUUUGCCAUUACGUAUGCGGUCGCAAACACUCUGUGUUAAUCAUGAAGUGUUCAAUAUGCACAGCAUGACCUAAACCCUAAAUCACGGUUGAGACAACGCAAUUAUGAAAAAUCAUCCACAUUCUUAAUUUAAGCGCGGCUGCUGUUGCAAACAAUCAUAAGAAAUUAGAAUACUUGGGCAAGGCUAAUAAUGAUGGCAUGAUUUGCAAAGCUGUCUGAGCAGUUGGGAUACUGCUACAGUCUAUUGAUAUCUUAUUAGUGGUUCAAAUGAUUUAGUCAUAAUUUUUCCUAACCAAAUCCAAUUACCUAUGAAUUAUAUUGAAACAAAGGACCAAAUAUAAAGAUAGAAAGUAAAAUGAAUUCAUAUUUCCCAAAUUCCUUCAUAUCAAGUAAGUCAUAAUUAAUGCUUUAGUAGCUUAGAUUCAAGCUUCGUUUGGGACGACUUUUUUAUUGUUUCUUAAAAGAGCUUUCUAGUUUAAAAUUUAAAAUUUUUCUUCUAAAAAACGGCUUUAAGAAGUAGUAAGAAAGCCGUCCCAAACAAAGUGACACCGAACAGGAGGGGGCUCGACGAAUCCACGUCGACGAUCCGGUGACCGAGGCCGAGCAAGUCUCCAAGAACUCCUCGGAGAAAGAAUCCACCACCUAAGAUCACUCUCAGGAUACAUGAAUCCAAAACAACAAGACAAAAGCCUUCAUUUUCUUUAUUCUCUAAAAUCUGUCUCAUCACAAUUAAUGACUAUGUAUUUAUAGACAAAUCAUAUCAACCUACUAGGAUACACAUAACAAAAAAAAA
Long non-coding RNA from Dendrobium catenatum, 1197 nucleotides. RefSeq lists it as uncharacterized. The record is from RefSeq and is a predicted model, not a curated record. The transcript has 2 exons. NCBI's taxonomy places the organism in Eukaryota, Viridiplantae, Streptophyta, Magnoliopsida, Asparagales, Orchidaceae.